GUCGAGAGGGUGAGGAAUACAACACCCCGUAACAGGGGGAAUAACUCCAGCCUAUCUUGUGGGGGGCUUUCGAACCUCUCGACCGCCCAAU
RNAcentral lists this non-coding RNA (91 nucleotides) under Neisseria arctica. RNAcentral describes it as "sRNA-Xcc1". It matches the Rfam family "sRNA-Xcc1". Lineage: Bacteria; Pseudomonadati; Pseudomonadota; Betaproteobacteria; Neisseriales; Neisseriaceae. The record is from Rfam by way of RNAcentral.